AAGUCGUAACAAGGUUUCCGUAGGUGAACCUGCGGAAGGAUCAUUAAUGAAUAACUUUGGCGUGGUCGUAGCUGGCUCUUAGGAGCAUGUGCACACCCGUCAUCUUUAUCUUUCCACCUGUGCACACAAUGUAGAUCUGGAUAACUCUCGCUCUUCGGAGCGGAAACAAGGAUUGCUGCGUCGCAAGGCCAGCUCUCUUUGAAUUUCCAGGUCUAUGUCAUUACAAACCCCAAUUGAAUGAUGAAGAAUGUAGUCAAUGGGCUCUAAGCCUAUAAAACACAAUACAACUUUCAGCAACGGAUCUCUUGGCUCUC
RNAcentral lists this unclassified non-coding RNA (314 nucleotides) under Coprinellus sp. RNAcentral describes it as "partial internal transcribed spacer region". The stretch from base 1 to 46 matches the Rfam family "Eukaryotic small subunit ribosomal RNA", at positions 1786 to 1831 of the family's 1831-position model. Lineage: Eukaryota; Fungi; Basidiomycota; Agaricomycetes; Agaricales; Psathyrellaceae. The record is from RNAcentral.